AUACGGAGGGUCCAAGCGUUAUCCGGAUUCAUUGGGUUUAACGGGUCCGCAGGCGGGAAAAUAAGUCAGUGGUGAAAGCCUACAGCUCAACUGUAGAACUGCCAUUGAUACUGUUUUUCUUGAGUAUAGAUGAAGUGGGCGGAAUAUAUCAUGUAGCGGUGAAAUGCAUAGAUAUGAUAUAGAACACCGAUUGCGAAGGCAGCUCACUAAACUAUUACUGACGCUCAGGGACGAAAGCGUGGGGAGCGAACAGGAGUAGAAACCCUAGUAGUCC
This 274-nucleotide ribosomal RNA is filed under the name uncultured bacterium. RNAcentral's name for it is "partial 16S ribosomal RNA". It matches the Rfam family "Bacterial small subunit ribosomal RNA", at positions 523 to 796 of the family's 1533-position model. The record is from RNAcentral.